Molecule: ribosomal RNA, 1000 nt
Filed under: uncultured organism
Description: bacterial SSU rRNA
Rfam family: Bacterial small subunit ribosomal RNA
Source: RNAcentral
GGGGGAUAUUGCGCAAUGGGGGCAACCCUGACGCAGCAACGCCGCGUGAAGGAUGAAGGUUUUCGGAUUGUAAACUUCUUUUAUUAAGGACGAAACUUGACGGUACUUAAUGAAUAAGCUCCGGCUAACUACGUGCCAGCAGCCGCGGUAAUACGUAGGGAGCAAGCGUUGUCCGGAUUUACUGGGUGUAAAGGGUGCGUAGGCGGCUUUGCAAGUCAGAUGUGAAAUCUAUGGGCUCAACCCAUAAACUGCAUUUGAAACUGUAGAGCUUGAGUGAAGUAGAGGCAGGCGGAAUUCCCCGUGUAGCGGUGAAAUGCGUAGAGAUGGGGAGGAACACCAGUGGCGAAGGCGGCCUGCUGGGCUUUAACUGACGCUGAGGCACGAAAGCGUGGGUAGCAAACAGGAUUAGAUACCCUGGUAGUCCACGCUGUAAACGAUGAUUACUAGGUGUGGGGGGUCUGACCCCUUCCGUGCCGGAGUUAACACAAUAAGUAAUCCACCUGGGGAGUACGGCCGCAAGGUUGAAACUCAAAGGAAUUGACGGGGGCCCGCACAAGCAGUGGAGUAUGUGGUUUAAUUCGAAGCAACGCGAAGAACCUUACCAGGUCUUGACAUCCAACUAACGAAGUAGAGAUACAUUAGGUGCCCUUCGGGGAAAGUUGAGACAGGUGGUGCAUGGUUGUCGUCAGCUCGUGUCGUGAGAUGUUGGGUUAAGUCCCGCAACGAGCGCAACCCUUGCUAUUAGUUGCUACGCAAGAGCACUCUAAUAGGACUGCCGUUGACAAAACGGAGGAAGGUGGGGACGACGUCAAAUCAUCAUGCCCCUUAUGACCUGGGCUACACACGUACUACAAUGGAUGUUAACAGAGGGAAGCAAGACAGCGAUGUGGAGCAAACCCCUAAAAACAUUCUCAGUUCAGAUUGCAGGCUGCAACCCGCCUGCAUGAAGAUGGAAUCGCUAGUAAUCGCAGAUCAGAAUGCUGCGGUGAAUACGUUCCCG